GGGCUCUUAGCUCAUCCGGUAGAGCGCUUCCAUGGCAUGGAAGAGGCGAGCGGUUCAAGUCCGCUAGAGUCCA
RNAcentral lists this transfer RNA (73 nucleotides) under Candidatus Kaiserbacteria bacterium. Its description in RNAcentral is "tRNA-Ala". It matches the Rfam family "tRNA". Rfam says of the family: Transfer RNA (tRNA) molecules are approximately 80 nucleotides in length. Their secondary structure includes four short double-helical elements and three loops (D, anti-codon, and T loops). Further hydrogen bonds mediate the characteristic L-shaped molecular structure. tRNAs have two regions of fundamental functional importance: the anti-codon, which is responsible for specific mRNA codon recognition, and the 3' end, to which the tRNAs corresponding amino acid is attached (by aminoacyl-tRNA synthetases). tRNAs cope with the degeneracy of the genetic code in two manners: having more than one tRNA (with a specific anti-codon) for a particular amino acid; and 'wobble' base-pairing, i.e. permitting non-standard base-pairing at the 3rd anti-codon position. The record is from RNAcentral. RNAcentral also lists the same sequence under 1 other name. Lineage: Bacteria; Candidatus Kaiseribacteriota.